AUUAACGUCAAUAACUUGGACCGAACACUUUGUUUUGCUUGAUGAAGAGCAGGAAGGGCAGCCUGGAGAGAAAGAGAAGCCGGGUUGAGCCCACUACCAUAAUCCACGUACCACGAGGAAGAUGAGGGAGAGAAAUGAUCCUACCAUUAAAGAGACUGUGAAAAGAGCGUUGAGAACAUCACCACUCUACAGGAAGACACAGUCCAGUAAUGGGUGUCAGAAGUUCAGUAGUGAACGACAGGAAGGACUGAUGCAUGUACUGAGACGGGACGUGAGGGCCUACUCUGCGUGCUCAGAGUUCAAGCCCAGCAGGCUGCAGCGGGCCUGACAUAUUCCGGAACAGCAGCACAGUCUUUGGAUGACUCCUCUGAAGAUGAAAACAUGGCGAGUUCUUCUCAAGAGAAGCAGUACAGGUGUGCCUCAGCUCCACGGUCCC
Platichthys flesus (European flounder) is the source of this 436-nucleotide long non-coding RNA. RefSeq lists it as uncharacterized. The transcript is spliced from 4 exons. NCBI's taxonomy places the organism in Eukaryota, Metazoa, Chordata, Actinopteri, Pleuronectiformes, Pleuronectidae. The record is from RefSeq and is a predicted model, not a curated record.